Molecule: transfer RNA, 56 nt
Filed under: Acidobacteriota bacterium
Lineage: Bacteria; Pseudomonadati; Acidobacteriota
Description: Acidobacteria bacterium (marine metagenome) tRNA-Leu
Rfam family: tRNA
About the family: Transfer RNA (tRNA) molecules are approximately 80 nucleotides in length. Their secondary structure includes four short double-helical elements and three loops (D, anti-codon, and T loops). Further hydrogen bonds mediate the characteristic L-shaped molecular structure. tRNAs have two regions of fundamental functional importance: the anti-codon, which is responsible for specific mRNA codon recognition, and the 3' end, to which the tRNAs corresponding amino acid is attached (by aminoacyl-tRNA synthetases). tRNAs cope with the degeneracy of the genetic code in two manners: having more than one tRNA (with a specific anti-codon) for a particular amino acid; and 'wobble' base-pairing, i.e. permitting non-standard base-pairing at the 3rd anti-codon position.
Source: RNAcentral
AGCUCGUUGGGCUCAUAACCCAAAGGUCGCGGGUUCAAAUCCCGCCCCCGCAACCA